GACGAACGCUGGCGGCGUGCUUAACACAUGCAAGUCGAGCGGAGCGGCGAAUGGGUGAGUAACGCGUGAGUAACUGCCCCCCUCUCUGGGAUAACAGUUGGAAACGGCUGCUAAUACCGGAUAGUGGGGGAUGACUCGCGUCCUAUCAGCUUGUUGGUGGGGUAGUGGCAUACCAAGGCGACGACGGGUAGCCGGCCUGCGAGGGCGACAGGCCACAUUGGACUGAGAUAAGGCCCAAACUCCUACGGGAGGCAGCAGUAAGGAAUAUUGCGCAAUGGGGGAAACCCUGACGCAGCGACGCCGCGUGAACGAAGAAGGCUUUCGAGUCGUAAAGGUCUUUCAGCGGGGAGGCGAUAAGGUUAAUAACCUUGUCGAUUGACGUUACCCGCAGAAGAAGCACCGGCUAACUCCGUGCCAGCAGCCGCGGUAAUUC
Molecule: ribosomal RNA, 433 nt
Filed under: uncultured bacterium
Lineage: Bacteria
Description: partial 16S ribosomal RNA
Rfam family: Bacterial small subunit ribosomal RNA
Source: RNAcentral